UUGAAUAAAAUCGACUGGGUUGUUGCUGGCUUUUAGGAGCAUGUGCACACUCGGUAUCAUUUUAUUAACCACUUGUGCACUUUAUGUAGACCUUUGAGUUCUCGAGGAAACUCGGAUUGAGGACGUGCUUAGGCUGUCCUUGUGCGCUCUGGGUCUAUGAUUUCACAUACACUACGAAUGUAACAGAAUGUUGACAUAUUGGCCUUGUGCCUUUAAUACAAUA
This 223-nucleotide unclassified non-coding RNA is filed under the name uncultured Gerhardtia. Its description in RNAcentral is "sequence contains ITS1". The record is from RNAcentral. Lineage: Eukaryota; Fungi; Basidiomycota; Agaricomycetes; Agaricales; Lyophyllaceae.